Molecule: small RNA, 2105 nt
Filed under: Pan troglodytes (chimpanzee)
Lineage: Eukaryota; Metazoa; Chordata; Mammalia; Primates; Hominidae
Description: processed transcript
Source: RNAcentral
GCUCCGCUUUGCCUGGGACCAGGAAAAGACGCGAGAGACGGAACUCGGCAUCAGGCACUGCUUGGGGCAGGAGGAGAGUAGGGGAAACCAAGGAAGAGAACAGAAAGGUAAGCACCAGCCACAAAAACCUACAAAAGAAGGGAAAUUACUGUCUUUAAAUAUUAAAAAAAAACAAGAUCCAUGAGUGGGCAUCGAUCAACAAGGAAAAGAUGUGGAGAUUCUCACCCGGAGUCCCCAGUGGGCUUCGGGCAUAUGAGUACUACAGGAUGUGUAUUAAAUAAAUUGUUUCAGUUACCAACACCACCAUUGUCAAGACACCAACUAAAGCGGCUAGAAGAACACAGAUAUCAAAGUGCUGGACGGUCCCUGCUUGAGCCCUUAAUGCAAGGGUAUUGGGAAUGGCUCGUUAGAAGAGUUCCCUCCUGGAUUGCCCCAAAUCUCAUCACCAUCAUUGGACUGUCAAUAAACAUCUGUACAACUAUUUUAUUAGUCUUCUACUGCCCUACAGCUACAGAGCAGGCACCUCUGUGGGCAUAUAUUGCUUGUGCCUGUGGCCUUUUCAUUUACCAGUCUUUGGAUGCUAUUGAUGGGAAACAGGCAAGAAGAACCAAUAGUAGUUCUCCUCUGGGAGAACUUUUUGAUCAUGGUUGUGAUUCACUAUCAACAGGUAUUGUUGAUUUUUUUAAUGUUAUUGAUUAUUAACAAUCGUUAAACCAGUGUGCUAACUAAGCAGUGUUAGAAUACAUGUUUAGUCAUGAGAAUAAGUAAUUUUGUAUUAAAUUUUAGUAUUUCUCAAAAGACUAUGAACCUAGUUAAUAUUUGUUCAUUAUUGGUAGUGUUAGGAAAUUUAGAAAUUACUUUCUGCUUGUUAUUUUUAGCCCCAAAUAUUGUUUUGGCAUCUUUUGUUUUUAAAAGCUUGGGGCAUAAUUGUCACCAUCAAAACUCUUAUGAACUAAAUGAGAGUACAGUGGUGGGAGACUAGUUAGGUAAUUUGUGGUCUUCAUAUAUUUAAAUGAAUGUUAUGUAGACAUUCAGAAUUAUGUUAAUGGACUUGGAUUAUAACUACGUCAUAAGAAGCUCAGAGAAAGACUAUGACAAAUUAGGAGUAUCGUUAAUAUUGCAUUGUGUACUGGAAAUUUGCUAAGAGAGUACAUUUUAGGUGCUUUUACCACAGGAGAAAAAAGGUAACUAUGGGACAUGAUGGAUAGGUUAAUUUGCUUAACUGUAGUAAUCAUUUAUAUAUAUGGCAUGUUUUACACCUCAUAUACAAUUUUUAAAAGAAACACUAAAGUGCUAGCAAUAACCGAGUUACUCUGUUUGGAUUAUAAGUGAUAUCUCUUUAUUUGCACUGUUUUGCAAGUUUUUAAAAUAGUAGUUUAUUAUGUUUUUAGAGAGGAAAAAGAUACUUAAAAUCUAAAUGACAGUUUUUCGGCUAGUCUUUCUGACAGGAACUCAUCCCUCCCCUCUUUUAUUUUUGUUUUAUUUAGUUUCUCAAUUAUUUUCUUGGUUGACAUGGCACUUAAAAUAUUUAAAAAGAAACUAACAAAAACCCCUUAUAGUUUUACCUCCUGAAUCCAGAUUUACAGGUAUAGGUGCAUAUCAAAAUCAUUGCUUCAUUGUAUCCCAACAGCAGCUUAUUUAGUAGAGGAGGAGAAGCAACUAAGGUCAUAUAAUUUUUUAAGAGUCAAAUCAAGAAAUACUCGAAACUUCUGUUGAAUAAAUGGUAGUUGGCUGUCUUGAAAGGCAACAACCAGCUGACUGCAGAUGGCAGGCUUCCUAUUAUUUAUUUUAAAUUGCAGUCAUUUUUGCGUUGUAGUUUGAGGUCUAGACUUUUAUAGGAAGUCUUUUUCUAUGUAUGUCACCCAUAACAAUAUCUGUUUAAAAAAAAAAAGACAGUUAUCAAUCUGAAGCAAGUAAGUCGGUCCGUCUGGGGAUUAUAUAGCCCCUUUGUUUUUCUUUUUUGGCUGUCUGCCUUGUAAUGAUUUGCUGAUCAUUAGUACUAGUGUCUCUAAGUCAGGAAAAUACUCGAAGAAAUGUUGAAGUAUUUUAGUUGCCUUCAAGAACUUUGCUUCCACUAAGUGAUUUGGUAAAAAAAAAAAAAAAAA